Molecule: non-coding RNA, 1311 nt
Organism: Oncorhynchus mykiss (rainbow trout)
Lineage: Eukaryota; Metazoa; Chordata; Actinopteri; Salmoniformes; Salmonidae
Source: RefSeq, a predicted model, not a curated record
AGGGCAUGCAUUAUAACGUUUGCUGAAAUAGUACACACACGUUUAGAAACUAUUUCAUGUUUCUAAAUUAUUUCUUUAUUCAGACGACGGGUACUGCUAUGGGAUCCCUUAUGGCUCUUAACUAUGAUAAUUUGUAUGUGAAACAGUACUCAAUACUCUCAAAAAAUAUUUAUUGCCUAACAUUAUUAUAUGGAAACGGUUCAUUUAUGGUAUUUUUGUUCUAUGGAGGGGUGAUGCAAAACAGCUCCAGGCAUUCCAUGCUUUUCUUAACUCUUAUUCUGAGCACCAGAGAUUUACUAUGCAAUCUGGCACACGUCAAAUCCGUGUCCUUGAUCUUCUGAUUGUUGUGAGGAUAAUGUUCUAUUCACUGAUAUAUACAGGAAACUUACUGAUCGUAACAGUUUGUUGAGGGCUGAUAGUGGUCACCAGCUUCCCUUGAAAAACAGUUUUCCCUACAGCCAAUUCUGUCGAAUCAAAAUAAUUUGCAAAAAACAAUCAGAUUUCGAAAGAAAUAUGUCUGAGAUGCAAAGAAAAUUCAAGGACAGCGGGUACAAAAAUGGUCAGAUUAAAAUAAAAAACAAAGCAUUCUUACUACCUGCUAUUCAAAGUGCUCUGAACAAAUUAAGGGGAAUCGUUCGCAAACAUUGGCACAUUCUAAAAUCGGUAAUGUGUUUUCGGACAUAUUCUCGCGGGGCAGAAAUCUCAGAGCACAAUUGUUAAACUCUGAUUUACCACCCCAAAACAACGCCUCUACCGGAUGGAAACUACAAGUGUAAUGGCUGCGCUCAAUGCAAUGGCACUUACAAACGUAGCUCCUUCAAACACCCCCAAACAGGGAAACAAAUCCACAAUUAAAGGUAUUUGUGCUCCAAUGAUGCAGUUGUUUAUUUUAUGAAUUGUAAUUGUGGUAAAACGAAGUGCGAAUUAAAAGUAUGAAUCUCGGAGUAUCAUAAAAACCAGUUGCGGCCUACUUUUUGGAAUCGAACCACUCGAUUUUGUCCCUACGUUAUAUCGGCACCGAACACGUCACCAUCCCUAGGAGAGGAGAUGUGCCUAGCAACACGUACCUCGGGAGGCAACGGGUGUUCGAGCAGUAAGGGCUAACAAAGCUGUCUGUAGACGAAAGUCGGCAAAUUAAGUCGUGGGGAGGUGCAUCUGCGACAGCCGAAAGUCGGACACUAGUGGUUUUCCAACAGCAAGGCUCAGAUCAACAUGGCAGUGUCAACAUAAUUGCUAUUGCUUAUAAAAAAAAUGUCUUUGUACAUUUCGAAAUAAACUUUUCUAUACCCCCAUAUCACACACUUACAAACU